ACGGGAGGCAGCAGCUAAGAAUAUUCCGCAAUGGACGAAAGUCUGACGGAGCGACGCCGCGUGGAUGAUGAAGGUCGGAAGAUUGUAAAAUCCUUUUAUAACUGAGGAAUAAGCAGUGUGAGAGAAACGCAUUGUGGUGACUGUAGGUUAUGAAUAAGCAACGGCUAAUUACGUGCAAGCAGCCGCGGUAACAAGUAAGAUGCGAGCGAUGUGCGGAAUUAUUGGGCGUAAAGGGAAUGUAGGCGGUUUUGCAAGCUUGAUGUGAAAGGCAGGAGCUUAACUCCUGGACUGCGUUGAGAACUGCAUAACUAGAGUCACUGAGGGGCAAGCAGAAUUCCAGGUGUAGGGGUGAAAUCUGUAGAUAUCUGGAAGAAUACCAAUGGCGAAGGCAGGUUACCAGCAGAUGACUGACGCUGAGGUGCGAAGGUGCGGGGAGCAAACAGGAUUAGAUACCCUGGUA
This 460-nucleotide ribosomal RNA is filed under the name uncultured Treponema sp. Its description in RNAcentral is "partial 16S ribosomal RNA". It matches the Rfam family "Bacterial small subunit ribosomal RNA", at positions 341 to 792 of the family's 1533-position model. Lineage: Bacteria; Pseudomonadati; Spirochaetota; Spirochaetia; Treponematales; Treponemataceae. The record is from RNAcentral.